Molecule: ribosomal RNA, 993 nt
Filed under: Staphylococcus aureus
Lineage: Bacteria; Bacillati; Bacillota; Bacilli; Caryophanales; Staphylococcaceae
Description: partial 23S ribosomal RNA
Rfam family: Bacterial large subunit ribosomal RNA
Source: RNAcentral
UCGAUUCCCUUAGUAGCGGCGAGCGAAACGGGAAGAGCCCAAACCAACAAGCUUGCUUGUUGGGGUUGUAGGACACUCUAUACGGAGUUACAAAGGACGACAUUAGACGAAUCAUCUGGAAAGAUGAAUCAAAGAAGGUAAUAAUCCUGUAGUCGAAAAUGUUGUCUCUCUUGAGUGGAUCCUGAGUACGACGGAGCACGUGAAAUUCCGUCGGAAUCUGGGAGGACCAUCUCCUAAGGCUAAAUACUCUCUAGUGACCGAUAGUGAACCAGUACCGUGAGGGAAAGGUGAAAAGCACCCCGGAAGGGGAGUGAAAUAGAACCUGAAACCGUGUGCUUACAAGUAGUCAGAGCCCGUUAAUGGGUGAUGGCGUGCCUUUUGUAGAAUGAACCGGCGAGUUACGAUUUGAUGCAAGGUUAAGCAGUAAAUGUGGAGCCGUAGCGAAAGCGAGUCUGAAUAGGGCGUUUAGUAUUUGGUCGUAGACCCGAAACCAGGUGAUCUACCCUUGGUCAGGUUGAAGUUCAGGUAACACUGAAUGGAGGACCGAACCGACUUACGUUGAAAAGUGAGCGGAUGAACUGAGGGUAGCGGAGAAAUUCCAAUCGAACCUGGAGAUAGCUGGUUCUCUCCGAAAUAGCUUUAGGGCUAGCCUCAAGUGAUGAUUAUUGGAGGUAGAGCACUGUUUGGACGAGGGGCCCCUCUCGGGUUACCGAAUUCAGACAAACUCCGAAUGCCAAUUAAUUUAACUUGGGAGUCAGAACAUGGGUGAUAAGGUCCGUGUUCGAAAGGGAAACAGCCCAGACCACCAGCUAAGGUCCCAAAAUAUAUGUUAAGUGGAAAAGGAUGUGGCGUUGCCCAGACAACUAGGAUGUUGGCUUAGAAGCAGCCAUCAUUUAAAGAGUGCGUAAUAGCUCACUAGUCGAGUGACACUGCGCCGAAAAUGUACCGGGGCUAAACAUAUUACCGAAGCUGUGGAUUGUCCUUUGGACAAUG